This 452-nucleotide ribosomal RNA is filed under the name uncultured bacterium. RNAcentral describes it as "partial 16S ribosomal RNA". It matches the Rfam family "Bacterial small subunit ribosomal RNA", at positions 28 to 507 of the family's 1533-position model. The record is from RNAcentral.
GAUGAACGCUGGCGGCGUGCCUAACACAUGCAAGUCGAGCGAUUCUCUUCGGAGAAGAGCGGCGGGCGGGUGAGUAACGCGUGGGUAACCUGCCCUGUACACACGGAUAACAUACCGAAAGGUAUGCUAAUACGAGAUAAUAUGCUUUUAUCGCAUGGUAGAAGUAUCAAAGCUUUUGCGGUACAGGAUGGACCCGCGUCUGAUUAGCUAGUUGGUAAGGUAACGGCUUACCAAGGCGACGAUCAGUAGCCGACCUGAGAGGGUGAUCGGCCACAUUGGAACUGAGACACGGUCCAAACUCCUACGGGAGGCAGCAGUGGGGAAUAUUGCACAAUGGGCGAAAGCCUGAUGCAGCAACGCCGCGUGAGCGAUGAAGGCCUUCGGGUCGUAAAGUUCUGUCCUCAAGGAAGAUAAUGACGGUACUUGAGGAGGAAGCCCCGGCUAACUACGUG